GGGGGUGAAGCUGAGUGGUACAGCACUUGCCUAGCACGCACAAGGCCCCCUGGGUUCCAUUCCCAGCACCUGCA
Molecule: transfer RNA, 74 nt
Filed under: Ictidomys tridecemlineatus (thirteen-lined ground squirrel)
Lineage: Eukaryota; Metazoa; Chordata; Mammalia; Rodentia; Sciuridae
Description: Spermophilus tridecemlineatus (thirteen-lined ground squirrel) tRNA
Rfam family: tRNA
About the family: Transfer RNA (tRNA) molecules are approximately 80 nucleotides in length. Their secondary structure includes four short double-helical elements and three loops (D, anti-codon, and T loops).
Source: Rfam by way of RNAcentral